GACGAACGCUGGCGGCGUGCUUAACACAUGCAAGUCGAACGGUAAGGCUCCAGCUUGCUGGGGUACAUGAGUGGCGAACGGGUGAGUAACACGUGGGUGACCUGCCCUGCACUUCGGGAUAAGCCUGGGAAACUGGGUCUAAUACCGGAUAGGACCGCACCGUGAGGGUGUGGUGGAAAGUUUUUUCGGUGUGGGAUGGGCCCGCGGCCUAUCAGCUUGUUGGUGGGGUAAUGGCCUACCAAGGCGGCGACGGGUAGCCGGCCUGAGAGGGUGGACGGCCACAUUGGGACUGAGACACGGCCCAGACUCCUACGGGAGGCAGCAGUGGGGAAUAUUGCACAAUGGGCGGAAGCCUGAUGCAGCGACGCCGCGUGGGGGAUGACGGCCUUCGGGUUGUAAACUCCUUUCACCAUCGACGAAGGGUUUCUGACGGUAGAUGGAGAAGAAGCACCGGCUAACUACGUGCCAGCAGCCGCGGUAAUACGUAGGGUGCGAGCGUUGUCCGGAAUUACUGGGCGUAAAGAGCUCGUAGGUGGUUUGUCGCGUCGUCUGUGAAAUUCCGGGGCUUAACUCCGGGCGUGCAGGCGAUACGGGCAUAACUUGAGUACUGUAGGGGAGACUGGAAUUCCUGGUGUAGCGGUGAAAUGCGCAGAUAUCAGGAGGAACACCGGUGGCGAAGGCGGGUCUCUGGGCAGUAACUGACGCUGAGGAGCGAAAGCAUGGGGAGCGAACAGGAUUAGAUACCCUGGUAGUCCAUGCCGUAAACGGUGGGCGCUAGGUGUGGGUUUCCUUCCACGGGAUCCGUGCCGUAGCUAACGCAUUAAGCGCCCCGCCUGGGGAGUACGGCCGCAAGGCUAAAACUCAAAGGAAUUGACGGGGGCCCGCACAAGCGGCGGAGCAUGUGGAUUAAUUCGAUGCAACGCGAAGAACCUUACCUGGGCUUGACAUAUACAGGAUCGCGCCAGAGAUGGUGUUUCCCUUGUGGCUUGUAUACAGGUGGUGCAUGGUUGUCGUCAGCUCGUGUCGUGAGAUGUUGGGUUAAGUCCCGCAACGAGCGCAACCCUUGUCUUAUGUUGCCAGCACGUUGUGGUGGGGACUCGUAAGAAACUGCCGGGGUUAACUCGGAGGAAGGUGGGGAUGACGUCAAAUCAUCAUGCCCCUUAUGUCCAGGGCUUCACACAUGCUACAAUGGUCGGUACAGUGGGUUGCCAGUCCGUGAGGGCGAGCUAAUCCCGCAAAGCCGGUCUCAGUUCGGAUCGGGGUCUGCAACUCGACCCCGUGAAGUCGGAGUCGCUAGUAAUCGCAGAUCAGCAACGCUGCGGUGAAUACGUUCCCGGGCCU
This 1341-nucleotide ribosomal RNA is filed under the name uncultured bacterium. RNAcentral's name for it is "16S ribosomal RNA". It matches the Rfam family "Bacterial small subunit ribosomal RNA", at positions 28 to 1381 of the family's 1533-position model. The record is from RNAcentral.